ACUAUCCAAAAGAUUUAAAAUUUAAUAAAAAUAUUAAAAUUAUUCUUUUAUGAUGAGUUACCGUGCAAUUCAAUCCUUCAAUCACAAAAUAUCUCAGAAAGGCCAUGGGUAAGAAAAUAUAUCAAACCCAAAUAUCUAUCUAUAUGUAUCUUAAUCUGAUGAUGAUAACUCGAUUGAUGAACCAAUAAAAAUAUUUUCUACUGUUUAUCCCUACUCUGACCG
This 222-nucleotide long non-coding RNA is filed under the name Elaeis guineensis (African oil palm). RNAcentral's name for it is "long non-coding RNA (EGUI_LNC055295)". Lineage: Eukaryota; Viridiplantae; Streptophyta; Magnoliopsida; Arecales; Arecaceae. The record is from RNAcentral.